RNAcentral lists this ribosomal RNA (390 nucleotides) under Triticum aestivum (bread wheat). Its description in RNAcentral is "partial small subunit ribosomal RNA". The record is from RNAcentral. Lineage: Eukaryota; Viridiplantae; Streptophyta; Magnoliopsida; Poales; Poaceae.
AUGCGUACGACGAGAUCCACCAAGCAAAUUAGCAAAACAAUGGGUUGUUGCAUGAGUAGGUUCGUCAAGGCGACGAUCGCAGUCGUCUUGCUCAUCAUGAUCUUCAUGUCCGGCGCAAUGGCGGCCACCAGCUUCGACACCACAAGGAUCCAGCAGGUGCCGUUGUCCCAAGGUCUUCUCCAAGGGCCAGAGAGUGUUGCCUUCGACGCCCAAGGACACGUCCUAUAUAGCGGUGUCUCUGAUGGCCGCGUCCUCAGAUGGAACGGUGACAAGGUAGGCUGGACCACUUACGCAUAUGGCCCUGGCUACGACGAAAACAUGUGCAAGUCUUCGAUAUUCCGCCCGGCAACUUUCACAGGGAGUCGUUGUGGCCGGCCGUUCGGCUUGUAG